GGCGAACGCUGGCGGCGUGCCUAAUACAUGCAAGUUGAGCGAUGAAGAUUGGUGCUUGCACCAAUUUGAAGAGCAGCGAACGGGUGAGUAACGCGUGGGGAAUCUGCCUUUGAGCGGGGGACAACAUUUGGAAACGAAUGCUAAUACCGCAUAACAACUUUAAACAUAAGUUUUAAGUUUGAAAGAUGCAAUUGCAUCACUCAAAGAUGAUCCCGCGUUGUAUUAGCUAGUUGGUGAGGUAAAGGCUCACCAAGGCGAUGAUACAUAGCCGACCUGAGAGGGUGAUCGGCCACAUUGGGACUGAGACACGGCCCAAACUCCUACGGGAGGCAGCAGUAGGGAAUCUUCGGCAAUGGACGAAAGUCUGACCGAGCAACGCCGCGUGAGUGAAGAAGGUUUUCGGAUCGUAAAACUCUGUUGGUAGAGAAGAACGUUGGUGAGAGUGGAAAGCUCAUCAAGUGACGGUAACUACCCAGAAAGGGACGGCUAACUACGUG
This 497-nucleotide ribosomal RNA is filed under the name uncultured bacterium. Its description in RNAcentral is "partial 16S ribosomal RNA". It matches the Rfam family "Bacterial small subunit ribosomal RNA", at positions 28 to 507 of the family's 1533-position model. The record is from RNAcentral.